RNAcentral lists this ribosomal RNA (468 nucleotides) under uncultured bacterium. RNAcentral's name for it is "partial 16S ribosomal RNA". It matches the Rfam family "Bacterial small subunit ribosomal RNA", at positions 28 to 507 of the family's 1533-position model. The record is from RNAcentral.
GACGAACGCUGGCGGCGUGCUUAACACAUGCAAGUCGAACGGAAAGGCCCUGCUUUUGUGGGGUGCUCGAGUGGCGAACGGGUGAGUAACACGUGAGUAACCUGCCCUUGACUUUGGGAUAACUUCAGGAAACUGGGGCUAAUACCGGAUAGGAGCUCCUGCUGCAUGGUGGGGGUUGGAAAGUUUCGGCGGUUGGGGAUGGACUCGCGGCUUAUCAGCUUGUUGGUGGGGUAGUGGCUUACCAAGGCUUUGACGGGUAGCCGGCCUGAGAGGGUGACCGGCCACAUUGGGACUGAGAUACGGCGCAGACUCCUACGGGAGGCAGCAGGGGGGAAUAUUGCACAAUGGGCGGAAGCCUGAUGCAGCAACGCCGCGUGCGGGAUGACGGCCUUCGGGUUGUAAACCGCUUUCGCCUGUGACGAAGCGUGGGUGACGGUAAUGGGUAAAAAAGCACCGGCUAACUACGUG